Molecule: long non-coding RNA, 1038 nt
Filed under: Cairina moschata (Muscovy duck)
Lineage: Eukaryota; Metazoa; Chordata; Aves; Anseriformes; Anatidae
Description: domestica (muscovy Duck (domestic type)) lncRNA (ENSCMMG00000005068.1)
Source: RNAcentral
AUGCCCCACACAUCGCCCCACGUCACCCCACAUCGCCCCACACCUCCCCGUGCCCCACACCUCGCCCCACAUCGCCCCACGCCUCACCUUACUGGGGGGGGGCGCUCCGUGGGGCAGGAAGGCGGCCGUCCGCCGUCCGUGGGGCUGGAGCUGCCGUGGGGCCGGGGGGGCCUCGCCGCGGGGCGCGCUAUGGGGCGGGGGACACCCAGUUCCCCCAGUUCACCCCGCUGGCCCCGCUACUGGCGUCAGCGCCGGCCGCCACGGCGUACUGGGAGGCACUGGUGCCGUACUGGGAGGCGUCGCCGGCGCCGCCGGCCGCCGCCGCAGCAGCCGCCGCCGCGUACUGGGCGGCCGCCGCCGCCAUGGCGCUGUACUGGGAGGCGCCGGAGCCGUACUGGGAGGCGCCGGAACCGUACUGGGAGGCGCCGGAGCCGUACUGGGAGGCGGCGGCGCUGUACUGGGCGUACUGGUUUCCGCCGUACUGGGCGCCGUAUUGGUAGUACUGCGCGGCGCCGCCCCCCCCGGCCCCCCCGUACUGGGCGUACUGGGCAUACUGGGCGUACUGGGCGCGGGCGGCGCUGGCGGGGGUGGCGGCGAAGGGGGAGGGGGCGCGGGGGGGCGCGGCGCUGGCCCCCCCCACCAUGCGGUGGCAGCAGGGCGCCAGGCGCGCCCCCCCGCAGCCCAGGCGGUGCAGGCAGCCCCCCCCCAGGCGGGGGCAGCCCCCCCCGAGGCGGUGCAGGCACGGGGAGCCCCCCCCCGCCGCCCCCCCCCCGGCCAGGCGGGGGGAGCAGCAGCCGCCGCCCCCCCCCUGCAAGCGGUGCAGGCAGCCGCCGCCCCCCCCCGAAGCCCCCAGCCCCAAGCGGCCGGCGGGGAAGCAGCCGCCCCCCCCCCCGGCCGAGGCGCCCCCCCCGCGGCACGGGGAGCCCCCCCCGGCGGCGCCCAGGAAGGGGGAGGCGGGGGAGCGCGGGAAGCAGCCCCCGCCCCCCCCCGAGCCGGCCCGCGCCCCCCCCGGGGUGGCCAAAAAGGGGGAGGCCGGGG